UACGUAGGCAGCGAGCGUUGUUCGGAGUUACUGGGCGUAAAGAGUAUGUAGGCGGUUGCGUAAGUUUGGGGUGAAAUCUCCCGGCUUAACUGGGAGGGUGCGCCGAAAACUGCGUGGCUAGAGUGUGGGAGAGGAAAGCGGAAUUCCUGGUGUAGCGGUGAAAUGCGUAGAUAUCAGGAGGAACACCGGCGGUGUAGACGGCUUUCUGGACCAUUACUGACGCUGAGAUACGAAAGCGUGGGUAGCAAACAGG
Molecule: ribosomal RNA, 253 nt
Filed under: uncultured bacterium
Lineage: Bacteria
Description: partial 16S ribosomal RNA
Rfam family: Bacterial small subunit ribosomal RNA
Source: RNAcentral